AUGGGAACGCGAAGAACCUUACCUAGACUUGACAUCUCCUGAAUAGUGUAGAGAUACAUGAAGCCCUUCGGGGCAGGAAGACAGGUGGUGCAUGGUUGUCGUCAGCUCGUGUCGUGAGAUGUUGGGUUAAGUCCCGCAACGAGCGCAACCCUUAUUACUAGUUGCUACCAUUAAGUUGAGCACUCUAGUGAGACUGCCCGGGUUAACCGGGAGGAAGGCGGGGAUGACGUCAAAUCAUCAUGCCCCUUAUGUCUAGGGCAACACACGUGCUACAAUGGUGAGUACAGAUAGAUGCGAUACCGCAAGGUGGAGCCAAACUCUAAAACUCAUCCCAGUUCGGAUUGUAGGCUGCAACUCGCCUACAUGAAGUUGGAGUUGCUAGUAAUCGCGAAUCAGAAUGCUACGGUGAAUACGUUCCCGGGUCUUGUACACACCG
This 436-nucleotide ribosomal RNA is filed under the name uncultured bacterium. RNAcentral describes it as "bacterial SSU rRNA". It matches the Rfam family "Bacterial small subunit ribosomal RNA", at positions 954 to 1392 of the family's 1533-position model. The record is from RNAcentral.